Molecule: ribosomal RNA, 468 nt
Filed under: uncultured bacterium
Lineage: Bacteria
Description: partial 16S ribosomal RNA
Rfam family: Bacterial small subunit ribosomal RNA
Source: RNAcentral
GACGAACGCUGGCGGCGGGCUUAACACAUGCAAGUCGAACGGAAAGUCCCUGCUUUUGGGGGGUGCUCGAGGGGCGAAGGGGGAAGUAACACGUGAGUAACCUGCACCUGACUGUGGGAUAACUUCAGGAAACUGGGGCUAAUACCGGAUAGGAUCUCCUGCUGCUAGGUGGGGGUGGGAAAGUUUCGGCGGUUGGGGAUGGAAGCGCGCCGUAUCAGCUUGUUGGGUGGGUAGUGGCAUACCAAGGCAUGGAGGGGUAGCCGGCCUGAGAGGGGAACCGGACACAUUAGGCCUGAGAUGAGGCCCAGACUCGAACGGGACGCAGCGGUGGAGAAUAUUGUCCAGCGGGCGGAAGCCUGAUGCGACAAAGCCACGUGCGGGAUGACAGCCUUCGGGUAGUAAACCGCUUUUGUCUGUGACGAGGCGUGAGUGACGGUACUGGGUAAAGAAGCACCGGCUAACUACGUG